UUUUCAUCAUUUGGCCAUGUUCAAUCUAUCUCAUGCCUUGUGAAGUAAAGAUUGGCAGCAUUGUCUUAGAAUUGAAAAACUACAAUCAUUUAUGUCUCAAAGAGAAUGAGUUUGACAUUAGGAGAAGGUAGAGGAAUAAGAUGUGUUUCUUUUGAUAUUGCAAUCAUCUUUUGCUCGAAGAGACUGAGUUUGAACUGAGGAGAAGGUAGAGGAAGAAAAUCAGGGCCUUGCUG
Molecule: unclassified non-coding RNA, 233 nt
Filed under: Hevea brasiliensis (rubber tree)
Lineage: Eukaryota; Viridiplantae; Streptophyta; Magnoliopsida; Malpighiales; Euphorbiaceae
Source: RNAcentral